This 76-nucleotide ribosomal RNA is filed under the name Acidimicrobiia bacterium. RNAcentral describes it as "partial 23S ribosomal RNA". It matches the Rfam family "Bacterial large subunit ribosomal RNA", at positions 2239 to 2315 of the family's 2925-position model. Lineage: Bacteria; Bacillati; Actinomycetota; Acidimicrobiia. The record is from RNAcentral.
UCUCGAUCACGGAAGUGCCUGGCGGGCAGUUUCACUGGGGCGGUGGCCUCCUAAAGAGUAACGGAGGCGCCCAAAG